This 833-nucleotide ribosomal RNA is filed under the name uncultured bacterium. RNAcentral describes it as "bacterial SSU rRNA". It matches the Rfam family "Bacterial small subunit ribosomal RNA", at positions 22 to 870 of the family's 1533-position model. The record is from RNAcentral.
GCUCAGAACGAACGCUGGCGGCGUGCCUAACACAUGCAAGUCGAGCGGUCCAAGGGCUUCGGUUCUUGGGUAGCGGCAGACGGGUGAGUAACACGUGGGUAACCUGUCCCUAGGUGGGGGAUAACUACUCGAAAGGGUGGCUAAUACCGCAUAAGACCCCGGGUUUUCGGAUCUGAGGUCAAAGGCGCAAGUCGCCAAGGGAGGGGCCCGCGGCCGAUUAGCUAGUUGGUGAGGUAACGGCUCACCAAGGCAGUGAUCGGUAGCUGGUCUGAGAGGAUGAUCAGCCACACUGGUACUGAGACACGGACCAGACUCCUACGGGAGGCAGCAGUGGGGAAUAUUGCGCAAUGGGCGAAAGCCUGACGCAGCAACGCCGCGUGGGUGAUGAAGGCCCUCGGGUCGUAAAGCCCUGUCAGAUGGGACGAAGCAAGUGACGGUACCAUCGAAGGAAGCACCGGCUAACUCCGUGCCAGCAGCCGCGGUAAUACGGAGGGUGCAAGCGUUGUUCGGAAUCACUGGGCGUAAAGGGCGCGUAGGCGGCUCCAAAAGUCUGAUGUGAAAGCCCGGGGCUCAACCCCGGAAGUGCAUUGGAAACUGUGGAGCUUGAGUUCGGGAGAGGAAGGCAGAAUUCCCGGUGUAGGGUUGAAAUCCGUAGAUAUCGGGAGGAAAACCGGUGGCGAAGGCGGCCUUCUGGAACGAAACUGACGCUGAGGCGCGAAAGCGUGGGGAGCAAACAGGAUUAGAGACCCUGGUAGUCCACGCUGUAAACGAUGGAUGCUGGGUGUGGGGUUCAAUACGGAACUCCGUGCCGAAGCUAACGCAUUAAGCAUCCC